GACGAACGUUGGCGGCGUGCUUAAUACAUGCAAGUCCACUGAAGCAGUGGUAGCAAUCUCGCUGUGGAGGUGGCGCACGGGUGAGUAACACGUAGGUAAUCUGCCUUCAGGUCUGGCAUAACUCCGGGAAACCGGGGCUAAUAGCAGAUGAUGCAGCGGCUCGACAUCGAGACAGUUGUUAAAGCUAUGGCGCCUGAAGAUGAGCCUGCGUCUGAUUAGCUAGUUGGCGGGGUAACGGCCCACCAAGGCAACGAUCAGUAGCUGGUCUGAGAGGAUGAUCAGCAACACUGGAACUGAGACACGGUCCAGACUCCUACGGGAGGCAGCAGUAAGGAAUAUUGCUCAAUGGGAGAAAUCCUGAAGCAGCAACGCCGCGUGAGGGACGAAGGGCUUUUGCUUGUAAACCUCUGUAGUGAGAGAAAAAAAUCCCAAUCUUUGGGACAUGAUGGUAUCUCAAAAGUAAGCCCCGGCUAACUACGUG
Molecule: ribosomal RNA, 481 nt
Filed under: uncultured bacterium
Lineage: Bacteria
Description: partial 16S ribosomal RNA
Rfam family: Bacterial small subunit ribosomal RNA
Source: RNAcentral